GUGCUUCAGCGGCACAUAUACUAAAAUUGAAAUGAUACAGAGAAAAUUAGCAUGGCUUCUGUGCAAGGAUGACAUGCAAAUUCAUGAAGUGCUUCAUAUUUAA
This 103-nucleotide small nuclear RNA is filed under the name Notamacropus eugenii (tammar wallaby). Lineage: Eukaryota; Metazoa; Chordata; Mammalia; Diprotodontia; Macropodidae. The record is from RNAcentral.